RNAcentral lists this ribosomal RNA (465 nucleotides) under uncultured bacterium. RNAcentral's name for it is "bacterial SSU rRNA". It matches the Rfam family "Bacterial small subunit ribosomal RNA", at positions 338 to 795 of the family's 1533-position model. The record is from RNAcentral.
CCUACGGGGCGCACCAGUGGGGAAUAUUGCACAAUGGGCGCAAGCCUGAUGCUGCCAUGCCGCGUGUAUGAAGAAGGCCUUCGGGUUGUAAAGUACUUUCAGCGGGGAGGAAGGUGUUGCGGUUAAUAACCGCAGCAAUUGACGUUACCCGCAGAAGAAGCACCGGCUAACUCCGUGCCAGCAGCCGCGGUAAUACGGAGGGUGCAAGCGUUAAUCGGAAUUACUGGGCGUAAAGCGCACGCAGGCGGUCUGUCGAGUCGGAUGUGAAAUCCCCGGGCUCAACCUGGGGACUGCAUUCGAAACUGGCAGGCUAGAGUCUUGUAGAGGGGGGUAGAAUUCCAGGUGUAGCGGUGAAAUGCGUAGAGAUCUGGAGGAAUACCGGUGGCGAAGGCGGCCCCCUGGACAAAGACUGACGCUCAGGUGCGAAAGCGUGGGGAGCAAACAGGAUUAGAUACCCUCGUAGUC